UGUGGGAGCGGGCUUGCUCGCGAAAUCGGUGGGUCAGUCAAAGCAUCUUGCACUGACACACCGAUUUCGCGAGCAAGCCCGCUCCCACA
RNAcentral lists this unclassified non-coding RNA (89 nucleotides) under Pseudomonas fluorescens. Lineage: Bacteria; Pseudomonadati; Pseudomonadota; Gammaproteobacteria; Pseudomonadales; Pseudomonadaceae. The record is from RNAcentral.